RNAcentral lists this ribosomal RNA (438 nucleotides) under Clostridium sp. CAG:245_30_32. RNAcentral describes it as "bacterial SSU rRNA". It matches the Rfam family "Bacterial small subunit ribosomal RNA", at positions 1 to 402 of the family's 1533-position model. Lineage: Bacteria; Bacillati; Bacillota; Clostridia; Eubacteriales; Clostridiaceae. The record is from RNAcentral.
UAAAUAUGAGAGUUUGAUCCUGGCUCAGGAUAAACGCUGGCGGCGCACAUAAGACAUGCAAGUCGAACGGAAGUCGUUAUAAAAAGGAUUGAAGAUUUAUCUGAUUGAGAUUUUAUAACAAUGGCUUUAGUGGCGGACUGGUGAGUAACGCGUGAGCAACCUGCCUACUAGAGGGGAAUAACAGUGAGAAAUCAUUGCUAAUACCGCAUAUGCCAUGAACAUCACAUGAUGAAAAUGGGAAAAGAGUAAUCUGCUAGUAGAUGGGCUCGCGUCUGAUUAGAUAGUUGGUGGGGUAACGGCCUACCAAGUCAACGAUCAGUAGCCGGACUGAGAGGUUGGACGGCCACAUUGGGACUGAGAUACGGCCCAGACUCCUACGGGAGGCAGCAGUCGGGAAUAUUGCGCAAUGGAGGAAACUCUGACGCAGUGACGCCGCGU